RNAcentral lists this ribosomal RNA (427 nucleotides) under uncultured bacterium. Its description in RNAcentral is "bacterial SSU rRNA". It matches the Rfam family "Bacterial small subunit ribosomal RNA", at positions 355 to 774 of the family's 1533-position model. The record is from RNAcentral.
UGGGGAAUAUUGCGCAAUGGGCGAAAGCCUGACGCAGCGACGCCGCGUGAGGGAUGAAGGUUUUCGGAUCGUAAACCUCUGUCAGAAGGGAAGAAACUACGUUGUGCUAAUCAGCAGCGUACUGACGGUACCUUCAAAGGAAGCACCGGCUAACUCCGUGCCAGCAGCCGCGGUAAUACGGAGGGUGCAAGCGUUAAUCGGAAUUACUGGGCGUAAAGCGCACGUAGGCUGUAGUGUAAGUCAGGGGUGAAAUCCCACGGCUCAACCGUGGAACUGCCUUUGAUACUGCACAACUUGAAUCCGGGAGAGGGUGGCGGAAUUCCAGGUGUAGGAGUGAAAUCCGUAGAUAUCUGGAGGAACAUCAGUGGCGAAGGCGGCCACCUGGACCGGUAUUGACGCGGAGGUGCGAAAGCGGGGGGAGCAAACA